RNAcentral lists this long non-coding RNA (2169 nucleotides) under Helianthus annuus (common sunflower). RNAcentral's name for it is "hypothetical non coding rna". Lineage: Eukaryota; Viridiplantae; Streptophyta; Magnoliopsida; Asterales; Asteraceae. The record is from RNAcentral.
GUGGGUGUGUGUGCGAUCGUGAGGAGAGACCAGGGGAAACCUUCCCCUCAAAACCCUAACACCUCUCAAAUCAUCAAAUUAAGAAGAAAAUUGAAGGUCAAUCGAAUGCAUGUGAUCAAUUCCUUAGUCAUCUAAGGGUUUCCCAUCAUGGGUAUAGGAAUCAUGUCAAGACGGACUCAAGCAUAAAAGGAUAACGGGUCAAGAAAAGGCGAGGAAUCGGAUACGAGCACGGACGCAUAAGGUUGUACGAAUCACGGAUUAACCUCACAAGGAGUAGCGAUCGAAGACCGAGUCACAAGAUAGAUUGUACGGGAAUGUUUACAUAUGUAAUUUAGUGAUGAUAAGUUAUGUUUUUAUAUUUUAAAGUGGACUUUCAAGUAAGACAAAACGUUUAUAAUGAAUGAAAUUUUAGGGUACGUAUUUCCGCUGCGACUUAUGGUCAAAUGUGAUUUAGGGUCUUACAAGUUGGUAUCAGAGCCCUGGUUUGAGCAAAUCAAGUAUGAGAAGAUAAAUACUUGAACUCAAACCUGUGUGCUCUUGUGAUAAGGAACCCGUACAAUCCACGACUCGAUCAAGAUCUAAAGGUAAGCAUAAGUGUCUGAAGAGGAUGGUUCGUGAAUGCAGGAUAGGAUGAAUACUAAGGCUGGCAAAGGUGUAAAUAAGCUAAUGAACCCCAGGUACACACUAUUAAUAUGUAUGGGUAUCAAUGUUGAAAGAAAAAGGAAGAAAUCUCCUUGGGAAGGUAAUUAUUAAACGAAAGGUAAUGAUGUGGUCUUGGGGAAAUUUUAGAAAUGUGCACGAAACUGAAACCCAUUUCUCGGACAUAAGGCGAUGAUUACACGAAGGCACGAAACUAGUAUGCAGAUUGUGCACCUGGCCAGUAUGCAAUAAGCAUAUGACGUUCGUGAGACCGUGGUAAUUAUCACAGGUGUGUCCGGUAGAACUGGGUAACAGGUGGGCGUGCGGUGAAAUGGGUAGUAAGACUCUCGGGAAAUUGAGAGUACUACGUAAGAGUGAAAAGUAUGAGUGAUAAGAAUGAAGAAUGUUGAAUCCGUAAGACAGUACGGAUCAGCAAUGUAUGAAUGAAAUGUUUGAAUCCGCGAGACGGAUUCAAAGAAUGAAAGAUGCGAAUGCAAUGUUUGAAUACGCAAGAUGGAUUCAAAACAUAGAAGGUACGAAAGGUAUGAAUAAUGUAUUCGAAUCCGCAAAACAGAUUUAAGGUAUAAAAGACGAAACUAGUCUACAUAAGAAGUGUCGAUAGUCUGACCGUGAUUUUGUCAAAUGAGUCAUAUGGGUAAAUGUAAAGUAAGGAAACAAAAGAAUGAUCGUAAUGAGCAUGCAGACCUAAGUUAUAAAACGAAAGAAGGAAGUUUUGAACAAGUUAUGUGUUAAAUGUGUUAGAAAUCGACUCUUAGAAGUCAGAAUGAAUGACGGGCUAUGACCCAGACAAUGGUUUAAGUAUGAACAAAAAGGGUAAGUUUGUUAAGAAUACUAAAACGAUGUAAUGAAUGUCUUUGUAAGUAAGCAUGAGUGGAAGGAAGCACGAAUGUGUACUUCAAUGCAUCUAUGAUAAGUGAGAAAAUUCAGUUUAACCUUAAAAGGUUAAACUGCAAAGGUUGACGAAAUAAGUAACUAAAAUGAAAGAAUUGCGUGUAAGAAAUGGAAUGUAAGAUAUGUUAUAGCAUGUACGCAGGAAAUAUGUAACAGAAUUAUAGGUGACUAAUCACCUAGUAGACUCAGUAUUUGAAUGAGAUAUGCUAACCGCCAAUUUUGUAGGUGGUGAUGUUAGAAUUCGUAGUGUGAUGAAACCAAUUGAAUUAGUGGAAGGAUGUGCACGAGCGGAAGCACGCUACGCGGAUGAAGGAAAUCUGGCCGGGUAUGGCUAGUACUCGUGAAAAGACGGAUAGAUCUGGUUUACGGACCAUUGAAAUUAUGCAACGAAAUCGAGUAUAGGAAUCAUGUCAAGACGGACUCAAGCAUAAAAGGAUAACGGGUCAAGAAAAGGCGAGGAAUCGGAUACGAGCACGGACGCAUAAGGUUGUACGAAUCACGGAUUAACCUCACAAGGAGUAGCGAUUGAAGACCGAGUCACAAGAUAGAUUGUACGGGAAUGUUUACAUAUGUAAUUUAGUGAUGAUAAGUUAUGUUUUUAUAUUUUAAAGUGGACUU